This 253-nucleotide ribosomal RNA is filed under the name uncultured bacterium. RNAcentral's name for it is "partial 16S ribosomal RNA". It matches the Rfam family "Bacterial small subunit ribosomal RNA", at positions 524 to 776 of the family's 1533-position model. The record is from RNAcentral.
UACAGAGGUCUCAAGCGUUAUUCGGAAUCACUGGGCGUAAAGGGUGCGUAGGCGGCGCGGAAAGUCAGGGGUGAAAUCCCGGAGCUCAACUCCGGAACUGCCUUUGAUACUCCCGCGCUGGAGAGCUGGAGGGGACAUCGGAAUUCACGGUGGAGCAGUGAAAUGCGCAGAUAUCGGGAGGAACACCACUGGCGAAGGCAGCUCGCUGGGACGUUACUGACGCUGAGACGCGAAAGCGUGGGGAGCAAACAGG